AAUUGGAGGGCAAGUCUGGUGCCAGCAGCCGCGGUAAUUCCAGCUCCAAUAGCGUAUAUUAAAGUUGUUGCAGUUAAAAAGCUCGUAGUUGAAUUUCGGGAUCAAUAUUUCGGUCAUGCCGUCGGUAUGCACUGUUAUCAUUGAUUUCUCACCUUCUAAAGAACCGUAAUGCCAUUAAUUUGGUGUUACGGGGAAUUAGGACUGUUACCUUGAAAAAAUUAGAGUGUUUAAAGCAGGCUCACGCUUGAAUACAUUAGCAUGGAAUAAUGAAAUAGGACAUCCGAUUCUAUUUUGUUGGUUUCUAGGAUCGAUGUAAUGAUUAAUAGGGAUAGUUGGGGGCAUUAGUAUUCAAUUGUCAGAGGUGAAAUUCUUGGAUUUAUUGAAGACUAACUACUGCGAAAGCAUUUGCCAAGGAUGUUUUCAUUAAUCAAGAACGAAAGUUAGGGGAUCGAAGACGAUCAGAUACCGUCGUAGUCUUAACCAUAAACUAUGCCGACUAGGGAUCGGAUGAUGUUAAUUUUUUAAUGACUCAUUCGGCGCCUUACGGGAAACCAAAGUGU
This 560-nucleotide ribosomal RNA is filed under the name uncultured Glomus. Its description in RNAcentral is "SSU rRNA". It matches the Rfam family "Eukaryotic small subunit ribosomal RNA", at positions 546 to 1106 of the family's 1831-position model. Lineage: Eukaryota; Fungi; Glomeromycota; Glomeromycetes; Glomerales; Glomeraceae. The record is from RNAcentral.